UCAAGUGAAGAAGCGCAUACGGUGGAUGCCUUGGCAGUCAGAGGCGAUGAAAGACGUGGUAGCCUGCGAAAAGCUUCGGGGAGUCGGCAAACAGACUGUGAUCCGGAGAUGUCUGAAUGGGGGAACCCAGCCAUCAUAAGAUGGUUAUCUUGUACUGAAUACAUAGGUGCAAGAGGCGAACCAGGGGAACUGAAACAUCUAAGUACCCUGAGGAAAAGAAAUCAACCGAGAUUCCCUUAGUAGUGGCGAGCGAACGGGGACCAGCCCUUAAGUUGUAUUGAGAUUAGCGGAACGUUCUGGAAAGGACGGCCAUAGUGGGUGAUAGCCCUGUACGCGAAAAUCCCUUUGCAAUGAAAUCGAGUAGGACGGGGCACGAGAAACCUUGUCUGAAUAUGGGGGGACCAUCCUCCAAGGCUAAAUACUACUGACUGACCGAUAGUGAACCAGUACCGUGAGGGAAAGGCGAAAAGAACCGCGGAGAGCGGAGUGAAAUAGAUCCUGAAACCGUAUGCGUACAAGCAGUGGGAGCCCACUUUGUUGGGUGACUGCGUACCUUUUGUAUAAUGGGUCAGCGACUUAUUUUCAGUGGCGAGCUUAACCGAAUAGGGGAGGCGUAGCGAAAGCGAGUCUUAAUAGGGCGUCUAGUCGCUGGGAAUAGACCCGAAACCGGGCGAUCUAUCCAUGGGCAGGUUGAAGGUUGGGUAACACUAACUGGAGGACCGAACCGACUACCGUUGAAAAGUUAGCGGAUGACCUGUGGAUCGGAGUGAAAGGCUAAUCAAGCUCGGAGAUAGCUGGUUCUCCUCGAAAGCUAUUUAGGUAGCGCCUCAUGUAUCACUGUAGGGGGUAGAGCACUGUUUCGGCUAGGGGGUCAUCCCGACUUACCAAACCGAUGCAAACUCCGAAUACCUACAAGUGCCGAGCAUGGGAGACACACGGCGGGUGCUAACGUCCGUCGUGAAAAGGGAAACAACCCAGACCGUCAGCUAAGGUCCCAAAGUCAUGGUUAAGUGGGAAACGAUGUGGGAAGGCUUAGACAGCUAGGAGGUUGGCUUAGAAGCAGCCACCCUUUAAAGAAAGCGUAAUAGCUCACUAGUCGAGUCGGCCUGCGCGGAAGAUGUAACGGGGCUCAAACCAUGCACCGAAGCUACGGGUAUCAUCUUAGGAUGAUGCGGUAGAGGAGCGUUCUGUAAGCCUGUGAAGGUGAGUUGAGAAGCUUGCUGGAGGUAUCAGAAGUGCGAAUGCUGACAUGAGUAACGACAAUGGGUGUGAAAAACACCCACGCCGAAAGACCAAGGUUUCCUGCGCAACGUUAAUCGACGCAGGGUUAGUCGGUCCCUAAGGCGAGGCUGAAAAGCGUAGUCGAUGGAAAACAGGUUAAUAUUCCUGUACUUCUGGUUAUUGCGAUGGAGGGACGGAGAAGGCUAGGCCAGCCUGGCGUUGGUUGUCCAGGUUUAAGGUGGUAGGCUGAGAUCUUAGGUAAAUCCGGGAUCUCAAGGCCGAGAGCUGAUGACGAGUGUUCUUUAGAACACGAAGUGGUUGAUGCCAUGCUUCCAAGAAAAGCUUCUAAGCUUCAGGUAACCAGGAACCGUACCCCAAACCGACACAGGUGGUUGGGUAGAGAAUACCAAGGCGCUUGAGAGAACUCGGGUGAAGGAACUAGGCAAAAUGGCACCGUAACUUCGGGAGAAGGUGCGCCGGUGAGGGUGAAGCAUUUACUGCGUAAGCCCACGCCGGUCGAAGAUACCAGGCCGCUGCGACUGUUUAUUAAAAACACAGCACUCUGCAAACACGAAAGUGGACGUAUAGGGUGUGACGCCUGCCCGGUGCCGGAAGGUUAAUUGAUGGGGUUAGCGCAAGCGAAGCUCUUGAUCGAAGCCCCGGUAAACGGCGGCCGUAACUAUAACGGUCCUAAGGUAGCGAAAUUCCUUGUCGGGUAAGUUCCGACCUGCACGAAUGGCGUAACGAUGGCGGCGCUGUCUCCACCCGAGACUCAGUGAAAUUGAAAUCGCUGUGAAGAUGCAGUGUAUCCGCGGCUAGACGGAAAGACCCCGUGAACCUUUACUAUAGCUUUGCACUGGACUUUGAAUUUGCUUGUGUAGGAUAGGUGGGAGGCUUUGAAACGUGGACGCCAGUCUGCGUGGAGCCAACCUUGAAAUACCACCCUGGCAACUUUGAGGUUCUAACUCAGGUCCGUUAUCCGGAUCGAGGACAGUGUAUGGUGGGUAGUUUGACUGGGGCGGUCUCCUCCUAAAGAGUAACGGAGGAGUACGAAGGUGCGCUCAGACCGGUCGGAAAUCGGUCGUAGAGUAUAAAGGCAAAAGCGCGCUUGACUGCGAGACAGACACGUCGAGCAGGUACGAAAGUAGGUCUUAGUGAUCCGGUGGUUCUGUAUGGAAGGGCCAUCGCUCAACGGAUAAAAGGUACUCCGGGGAUAACAGGCUGAUACCGCCCAAGAGUUCAUAUCGACGGCGGUGUUUGGCACCUCGAUGUCGGCUCAUCACAUCCUGGGGCUGAAGCCGGUCCCAAGGGUAUGGCUGUUCGCCAUUUAAAGUGGUACGCGAGCUGGGUUUAGAACGUCGUGAGACAGUUCGGUCCCUAUCUGCCGUGGACGUUUGAGAUUUGAGAGGGGCUGCUCCUAGUACGAGAGGACCGGAGUGGACGAACCUCUGGUGUUCCGGUUGUCACGCCAGUGGCAUUGCCGGGUAGCUAUGUUCGGAAAAGAUAACCGCUGAAAGCAUCUAAGCGGGAAACUUGCCUCAAGAUGAGAUCUCACUGGAACCUUGAGUUCCCUAAAGGGCCGUCGAAGACUACGACGUUGAUAGGUUGGGUGUGUAAGCGCUGUGAGGCGUUGAGCUAACCAAUACUAAUUGCCCGUGAGGCUUGACCAU
RNAcentral lists this ribosomal RNA (2891 nucleotides) under Pseudomonas savastanoi. RNAcentral describes it as "bacterial LSU rRNA". It matches the Rfam family "Bacterial large subunit ribosomal RNA". The record is from RNAcentral. Lineage: Bacteria; Pseudomonadati; Pseudomonadota; Gammaproteobacteria; Pseudomonadales; Pseudomonadaceae.